UACGGGGGGGGCAAGCGUUGUCCGGAAUUAUUGGGCGUAAAGAGCUCGUAGGCGGUCUGUCGCGUCUGCUGUGAAAACUCAGGGCUUAACCCUGAGCUUGCAGUGGGUACGGGCAGACUAGAGUGCGGUAGGGGAGACUGGAAUUCCUGGUGUAGCGGUGAAAUGCGCAGAUAUCAGGAGGAACACCGGUGGCGAAGGCGGGUCUCUGGGCCGUAACUGACGCUGAGGAGCGAAAGCAUGGGGAGCGAACAGG
Molecule: ribosomal RNA, 253 nt
Filed under: uncultured bacterium
Lineage: Bacteria
Description: partial 16S ribosomal RNA
Rfam family: Bacterial small subunit ribosomal RNA
Source: RNAcentral